This 468-nucleotide ribosomal RNA is filed under the name uncultured bacterium. RNAcentral describes it as "partial 16S ribosomal RNA". It matches the Rfam family "Bacterial small subunit ribosomal RNA", at positions 28 to 507 of the family's 1533-position model. The record is from RNAcentral.
GACGAACGCUGGCGGCGUGCUUAACACAUGCAAGUCGAACGGAAAGGCCCUGCUUUUGUGGGGUGCUCGAGUGGCGAACGGGUGAGUAACACGUGAGUAACCUGCCCUUGACUUUGGGAUAACUUCAGGAAACUGGGGCUAAUACCGGAUAGGAGCUCCUGCUGCAUGGUGGGGGUUGGAAAGUUUCGGCGGUUGGGGAUGGACUCGCGGCUUAUCAGCUUGUUGGUGGGGUAGUUGCUUACCAAGGCUUUGACGGGUAGCCGGCCUGAGAGGGUGACCGGCCACAUUGGGACUGAGAUACGGCCCAGACUCCUACGGGAGGCAGCAGUGGGGAAUAUUGCACAAUGGGCGGAAGCCUGAUGCAGAAACGCCGCGUGCGGGAUGACGGCCUUCGGGUUGUAAACCGCUUUCGCAUGUGACGAAGCGUGAGUGACGGUAAUGGGUAAAGAAGCACCGGCUAACUACGUG